GACGAACGCUGGCGGCGUGCCUAAUACAUGCAAGUAGAACGCACAGUUUAUACCGUAGCUUGCUACACCAUAGACUGUGAGUUGCGAAAGGGGGAGUAACCCGUAGGUAACCUGCCUGGUAGCGGGGGGUAACUGUUGGUAACGAUAGCUAAUACCGCAUAAUGUUUAUUAUUGCAUGAUAAUUAAUUGAAAUGUGCAAUUGCACCACUACCAGAUAGACCUUCGGUGUAUUAGCUAGUAGGUGAGGUAACGGCUCACCUAGGCGACGAUACAUAGCCGGCCUGAGAGGGUGGUUGGCCACCCUGGGACUGAGACACGGCCCAUACGCCCUGAGGAGGCAGCAGUAGGGAAGCGGCGGGAAUGGGGGAAAGUCUGACCGAGCAACGCCGCGUGAGUGAAGAAGGGUGUCGGAUCGUAAAGUGCGGUGGUGAGAGAAGAACGGGUGUUGGAGUGUGAAGUUCACACUGUGACGGUAUUUUACCAGAAAGCGACGGCUAACUACGUG
Molecule: ribosomal RNA, 505 nt
Filed under: uncultured bacterium
Lineage: Bacteria
Description: partial 16S ribosomal RNA
Rfam family: Bacterial small subunit ribosomal RNA
Source: RNAcentral